CCCAGACUCCUACGGGAGGCAGCAGUGGGGAAUAUUGCACAAUGGGGGAAACCCUGAUGCAGCGACGCCGCGUGAAGGACGAAGUAUUUCGGUACGUAAACUUCUAUCAGCAGGGAAGAAAAUGACGGUACCUGACCAAGAAGCCCCGGCUAACUACGUGCCAGCAGCCGCGGUAAUACGUAGGGGGCAAGCGUUAUCCGGAUUUACUGGGUGUAAAGGGAGCGUAGACGGCCGUGCAAGUCUGAUGUGAAAACCCGGGGCUCAACCCCGGGACUGCAUUGGAAACUGCAUGGCUGGAGUGUCGGAGAGGCAAGUGGAAUUCCUAGUGUAGCGGUGAAAUGCGUAGAUAUUAGGAGGAACACCAGUGGCGAAGGCGGCCUGCUGGACGACAACUGACGGUGAGGCGCGAAAGCGUGGGGAGCAAACAGGAUUAGAUACCCCCGUAAA
RNAcentral lists this ribosomal RNA (447 nucleotides) under uncultured bacterium. RNAcentral's name for it is "bacterial SSU rRNA". It matches the Rfam family "Bacterial small subunit ribosomal RNA", at positions 330 to 794 of the family's 1533-position model. The record is from RNAcentral.